This 1124-nucleotide long non-coding RNA is filed under the name Homo sapiens (human). Its description in RNAcentral is "novel transcript". The record is from RNAcentral. Lineage: Eukaryota; Metazoa; Chordata; Mammalia; Primates; Hominidae.
UGGGGAUAGUUCUGUGUAUACAGUGAUUAAGCACAUAGGUUCUGGAGCCAGUCUGUUUCUUUCAAAAUCACCUCAUUGCUUUUGAAGAAUCAGGGAAACCCCCAUGAGACUACAGGUGUGAAGCAAGAUAGAAGCAUCAGUGCAAAAGAGAUUCUCUUACUGAGAUACCUUGGAACAUGGUUUGAAUAAUAUUGCUCUAACUUCUUUCAUGUCAGGAAGCUCUGAGAUGCAGAAACACAGAAAGGAAGAGGAUUAGCAACUUUCCCAGAUCUGAGUUGAGCUGAGAUUUGAGUCAAGGCAAUAUUGCUUCUGGGGCUGUAACAACUACAUUUUAUUGUCUCCUGAACAGAUACUUCCUUUUCUUACUUAAUAAGAAUAGACCUUGGAGGUCUGGACCUGGACAUGAACGUACACUUUUCUAAAGAAGAUAUACACAUGGCCAACAAGCAUGUGAAAAAAAGCUCAAUAUCACUGAUCAUUAGAGAAAUGCAAAUGAAAAUCACAAUGAGAGACCAUCUCACACCAGUCAGAAUGGCUAUUAUUAAAAACUCAAAAAAUAACAGAUGCUGGCGAGGUUGCAGAGAAAAGGGAACACUUAUACACUGUUGGUGGGAGUGUAAAUUAGUUCAACUAUUGUGUAAAGCAAUAUGUCAAUUCCUCAAAGAGCUAAAAAAGAACUACCAUUGGACUCAGCAAUCCCAUUACUGGGUAUAUACUCAGAGGAAUAUAAGUCACUCUACUAUAAACACACACGCAUGCAAAUUUUCAUUGUAGCACUAUUUACAAUAGCAAAGACAUGGAAUCAACCUAAAUGCUCAUCAAUGACAGAUCGGAUAAAGAAAAUAUGCAUCUUCAACCUUUCUGGACUACAGCACCUGCCAACUGACCCCCACAUCAUGGCUCCAACGCUGGCUUCAUCACAUAUCUUCUCUCUCAGUCCCUUUGGCUCUCAGGGUGCAAUAGCUUAACAAAAUUGCUGAUCUAGGUGCCUCAGCAUUGUUUCUUUGUCAUAGUCUCUGUAUUAUCUUAUUUUGAGCCAUUCUUUUCCUGCAAAGAUCCUAACUGAAUGAGAUAACUACUUCAUAAGCUAUUUGUAAGGUUUAAAUAAAUUAAUGCAUAUUUAA